AUUGAACGCUGGCGGCAUGCCUUACACAUGCAAGUCGAACGGCAGCGGGGGAGAAGCUUGCUUUUCCUGCCGGCGAGUGGCGAACGGGUGAGUAAUACAUCGGAACGUGCCCUGUAGUAGGGGAUAACUAGUCGAAAGAUUAGCUAAUACCGCAUACGACCUGAGGGUGAAAGUGGGGGACCGCAAGGCCUCAUGCUAUAGGAGCGGCCGAUGUCUGAUUAGCUAGUUGGUGGGGUAAAGGCCUACCAAGGCGACGAUCAGUAGCUGGUCUGAGAGGACGAUCAGCUACACUGGGACUGAGACACGGCCCAGACUCCGACGGGAGGCAGCAGUGGGGAAUUUUGGACAAUGGGCGAAAGCCUGAUCCAGCAAUGCCGCGUGUGUGAAGAAGGCCUUCGGGUUGUAAAGCACUUUUGUCCGGAAAGAAAUGGCUCUGGUUAAUACCUGGGGUCGAUGACGGUACCGGAAGAAUAAGGACCGGCUAACUACGUGCCAGCCGCCGCCGUAA
Molecule: ribosomal RNA, 508 nt
Filed under: uncultured bacterium
Lineage: Bacteria
Description: partial 16S ribosomal RNA
Rfam family: Bacterial small subunit ribosomal RNA
Source: RNAcentral